GGUGGGUCCUUAUCAGAACUAGUACUGGCCGCAGAUAGAGUCCUUGUCGUCGGUGACUUUAAUAUCCAUGUAGACAAUGAUACAGAUGCCUUGGGACUGGCUUUCAAAGACACUCUUAACUCCAUGGGCGUUAGUCAACAUGUGUCAGGACCCACUCACCUUCGUAAUCAUACUUUAGAUUUAAUACUUUCUUAUGGUAUAAAUGUGGACGAUGUUAAAAUCGUUCAGCAGAGUGAAUAUAUUUCGGAUCAUUAUCUGAUAUUAUGUUUGCUUCAAUGGCCUACGGCUGCAAAUCAAACACCAAAGUUCCGUUUCUCGAUAAUCUGCCUGAAUUGUCUAAAAUAUCUAGCAUGAGUAAAAGCGUUGACGAUUUUGACACUAUUAUUGAAAAUUUUAACUCUACUUUCUCGGAAAUAUUAGACACAGUUGCUCCUCUGUGUUUAAAGAAAAUUAAAAAUAGCAGCCCAACACCGUGGUAUAAUGAACACACUCAGACUCUAAAAAAAGCGUCCCGGAAAAUGGAGCGCAACUUUAAGAAAACUAAUUUAGAGGUAUUUCGUAUAGCAUGGAAGGAUAGUACUCGAAAUUACAGGAAUGCCAUAAAAACGUCUAGAUCCACCUACUUUUCAACACUAAUAGAGGAAAACCAUCACAACCCUAGGUUUUUAUUUAACACCGUGGCUAAAUUAAUAAAAAAUAAGUCGUCAUCAACGUCAGAUUCUGAUUAUCAGCAUAACAGUGAUGAAUUUAUGAACUACUUCACGAGUAAAAUCCAAGAUAUAAGAGAAAAAAUUAUAACAAUGCAACCUGUAGUGAAAUCCGCUGAACAAACUAACUACAGCACCCCUAAGGAGAAAUUGCAAUUAUUUUCUAUAGUAGAUCACGAUGAACUGUCUAAAAUCAUUAGAUCAUCUAAAUCAACAACAUGCAUGCUAGACCCUAAACCUACAAAACUACUGAAAGAAAUGCUCCCAGAAAUUAUAGAUCCUCUUCUCAGUAUUAUUAACUCAUCUCUGACAUAAGGACAUGUGCCUAAAGCAUUUAAGGUGGCUGUUAUAAGGCCUCUUUUAAAAAAAAAAACUUGACCCUAAAGAACUAGGGAAUUCCAGGCCUAUAUCGUAUUUACCUUUUAUAUCUAAAGUUCUGGAAAAAGUAGUUUCAACUCAAUUAUGCUCCUUCCUCCAAAAGAAUGACAUUAAUGAUGAAUUCCAGUCUGGAUUUCGAGCAUGUCACAGUACAGAGACUGCUUUGAUCAGAGUUACAAAUGAUCUGCUUUUAGCGUCUGACCGUGGCUGUAUUUCAUUAUUGGUGCUGCUAGACCUCAGUGCUGCAUUUGACACCAUUGACCACAGCAUACUUCUACAUAGACUCGAAAAUUACGUCGGCAUUAAAGGAAUAGCAUUGAAAUGGUUUGAGUCUUAUUUAUCCGACCGUUUUCAAUUUGUAGCAAUAAACAUUGAGGUGUCCCGCAAAUCACAAGUCCAGUACGGUGUACCACAAGGCUCAGUCUUGGGGCCUCUGCUCUUCGCAUUAUACAUGCUACCUCUAGGAGAUAUAAUACAGCGACACGGAAUAAGCUUUCACUGUUAUGCUGAUGAUACUCAACUUUAUAUUUCCUCGAAGCCUCAUGAAACCCAGCAGUUCUAUCGAAUAAAGGAUUGCAUAGUUGACUUAAAAAUGUGGAUGAGUAACAAUUUUUUACUACUAAACUCGGACAAAACAGAUGUGUUACUUACUGGACCGAAAACUGCUAUGCGUAACAACCAAGAAUACUGCUUAACGAUUGACGGAUGCCCCAUAAAAUCCUCGUCAUCAGCUAAGAAUCUUGGCGUUGUAUUCGACAGUACUCUGUCAUUUGAAAGCCAUGUCGCCAACACCUGUAAAAUUGCAUUUUUCCAUUUUAAGAAUAUAUCCAAAUUACGUCAUAUGCUGUCACUGUCAGAUGCAGAGAAAUUAAUUCAUGCAUUCAUGACAUUAAGACUAGAUUACUGUAAUGCACUUCUAGGUGGUUGCCCUGCGGGCCUAUUACAAAAAUUGCAACUGGUUCAAAACGUUGCAGCUCGAGUUCUUACACGUACAAAAAAGUAUGAGCAUAUAACCCCGGUUCUGUCAACCUUGCACUGGUUACCUAUGAAGCAUCGCAUUAACUUUAAGAUCUUGCUUAUUACCUAUAAAGCCCUACAUGGUCUAGCGCCGCAGUAUUUGAAUGAACUUCUAUUGUAUUACAGACCUCAACGUACAUUACACUCUCAGGCGUCCUGUCAGUUGGUAAUACCUAGAAUUUCAAAAUCAAGUGCAAGUGGUAGAUCCUUUUCUUAUCUAGCGCCUAAACUUUGGAAUAUUCUUCCCUGCACUGUCCGGGAGGCAGACACACUCUGUCAGUUUAAAUCUAGACUAAAGACUCAUCUUUUUAAUCUUGCAUACAUUACACCUCCAUAAUAUUAAUCCUCAAAGGAUUUAGGCUGCAUUAUUUAGAUCAACCGGAACCAGGAACACAUCCAACAACAAAUGAUGUACUUGUUGCAUCAAAGAGUGCAGAACAGUACUCUACUCUCAGCCAGUCUUGUCUCUUUGUUCCAAGGUUACCGCAGGAUCCAGUUCAUGCCCAUACCUGAUGGCAGAGCAGAGAAUGGGAAGCCGUGACCUGACAAGAGCUAAGAGGAUAGAGCUGGAUAAAGGACGCGACAACUUUGUUUUUCCUACAACAUUUCAAAUGCUAUUAGAUUGUUAAUGAUAAUCUUAAAUCCUUAAUUUUUAUAUUUUUAUUAAGCCUUGUUGUGCAAGCACUGUUGAGCUUGUGCAGAGGCAACAGCUUUUGCCAGAGGGGAACUGGAAUCCCCUGGUCGGGCCUGGGUUCCCCUGAGGUUUUUUUUCUCGAUGGGAUAUUUGGGUUCCUCACCACCAUUUGCAUAUUGUUUUGCACUAUCUGGCUGGCCGGGGAGGCUGCUUUAGAAUUCAUACUUGUAUUCAAUGUGUCUCAUUGUACAGCUGCUUUGUAACAAUGAAAAUUGUAAAACGCGCUAUAUAAAUAAAGUUGAGUUGAGUUGAGAAUUGCAAACAGUCGUUUUCCAAAUAUGAAGGAUUUAAGAAUCACUUUUAUCAUUGCCAUAACACCUCUACAUGUACUGUGCCUGCACAUGGAGUAACUGAUACAGCCUUGACAUGCAAUAUUGCACUUUGUGGUCAUCAGUGUAAUGAUGUGCCUGGUCUUGUUGCUCAUUUUAAGAACCAUAUGAAGGAAGGCCGUGCAGUUAAUUGUCCAGUGAAAGGGUGCAAAAGGGUUUUUCAAAUCAUGUCUUCUUUUACCUCCCAUAUGUCCAGGAAGCACAGGAACUACUCAUUUGAUAUCAAUGAUCAUUCGCAUCAACAUUCUGCACCAGAGAUUUCAUCGGUUUCAACUGAACAAUGUCCUACAGCUUCUGACCUGGAUGCAAAUGCAGAUCCCGUUGGCGUUCCGGACUGCGAUCUCCUGCUUCACCAAGCUCCACGAUUGCUCCUGGAUUCCACCCGUUACCAGGCACUACAGAUUCUCUCGCCUAGCGAGCUCCGGGUCGAGCUUCCUCCCCGGACCCAGUUCUCUACAGAUUCUCUCGCCGAGCGAGCUCCGGGUCGAGCUGCCUCCCCGGACCCAGUUCUCUACAGAUUCUUCCCCGUGGCCCGCAGGGGGUCGUCUGUGUGUGCUUUUUACCAGACUGUGGUGGAGUUAUUAACCUAUCAAUAAAGCCUUGUUUUUGCCCCGCACUUGAGUCUCCCUUUGUCUGCCAUGA
RNA transcript from Triplophysa dalaica, 3767 nucleotides. RefSeq lists it as uncharacterized. The transcript is spliced from 2 exons. NCBI's taxonomy places the organism in Eukaryota, Metazoa, Chordata, Actinopteri, Cypriniformes, Nemacheilidae. The record is from RefSeq and is a predicted model, not a curated record.